UACGUAGGGUGCGAGCGUUAAUCGGAAUUACUGGGCGUAAAGCGUGCGCAGGCGGUUCGUUGUGUCGGCGGUGAAAGCCCCGGGCUCAACCUGGGAAUGGCCGUUGAAACUGGCGAACUGGAGUGUGGCAGAGGGGGGUGGAAUUCCACGUGUAGCAGUGAAAUGCGUAGAGAUGUGGAGGAAUACCGAUGGCGAAGGCAGCCCCCUGGGCCAAUACUGACGCUCAUGCACGAAAGCGUGGGGAGCAAACAGG
RNAcentral lists this ribosomal RNA (253 nucleotides) under uncultured bacterium. RNAcentral's name for it is "partial 16S ribosomal RNA". It matches the Rfam family "Bacterial small subunit ribosomal RNA", at positions 524 to 776 of the family's 1533-position model. The record is from RNAcentral.